CCUUCUGAGACCCUCUGUGACCUUCCGAGACCAUAUUUGACAGAAGCUCAGACUGACAAUGAGGCAUUUACAAACCGUUUAUCACGGCAAGGCAGUCAGACGUCCUUGUGGGGAAAUUUAUCAAUAUGAAGACCGCCUUUAUUUUUGGCUGUCGUUGUGCUGGCGGCGGUGGCCUCGGCCGCUGAAAAGAAGGAGGACCUCAAGACCGAGGAAUCCCACCCGGUCGCUGCUUACGGAAGCGGCUAUGGCUACGGCGGUUAUGCUGCCCCCAGUUACAGCCAUACCCACUCGUACACCAGGACCUACAGCAAGCCCAGCUACGGAUACGGACACGACGAUAGCUACGGAUUCAAGCCCAGCUACGGCUACGGUCAUUCUACCUACGGCCACUCCGGCUACGGCAGCUCUGGCUACGGCUACGCCCGCCCCUCGUACGGCUACGGCCACACCAAGAGCUACGGCUACGAGCGUCCCAGCUACGGCUACUCCGGCCACGGCUCCGAUUACGGCCAUGGAUAUGGCUACGGCCGCGACUACGGCUACGGCCAUGGCUACGGCUCCGACCGCGGCCACGGCUACGGCUACUCUGGCUACAGCCGUCCCUCCUACGGCCACGGCUACUCUGGCCACGGCUCUGGCUACGGCCACUCUGGCUACGGCUACAGCGCUCCCUCGUACUCGUACUCUCGCAGCUACGGCUAUUCGGCUCCGUCGUAUGGUUACGGAUACGGCCACUAGAUGUCAGCACCUACUGGAGAUGUCAAUCAGGAGCCUGAAUGAUGUGACCUGCCAGUAUGGGGCGGCGUCAACGUGUAAGGAAAUGCCGCCAGCACAGUCUUUCUGGUUAUUUAAACUUGUCCGCUUGUAGCCGUGUGUACCUGACAACAGUGUGUACUGAAUACACCGAACAACGAGCCAGUGC
This 922-nucleotide unclassified non-coding RNA is filed under the name Amphibalanus amphitrite. Its description in RNAcentral is "prisilkin-39-like, transcript variant X3". Lineage: Eukaryota; Metazoa; Arthropoda; Thecostraca; Balanomorpha; Balanidae. The record is from RNAcentral.